CCUACGGGAGGCUGCAGUGAGGAAUAUUGGUCAAUGGCCGGAAGGCUGAACCAGCCAUGCCGCGUGAAGGUCAGUGCCCUUUGGGCGUUAAACUUCUUUUGUGCGGGAGCAAUAAUGGUCACGUGUGGCCAGACGAGAGUACCGUACGAAUAAGCAUCUGCUAACUCCGUGCCCGCAGCCGCGGUAAUACGGGGGGUGCAAGCGUUAUCCGGAGUUAUUGGGGUUAAAGGGUGCGUAGGCUGGGAGUUAAGUCAGCGGUGAAAUGCCGCCGCGCAACGGGGUGAAGUGCCAUUGAUACUGGCGUGCUGGAAUGCGGAUGCCGUGGGAGGAAUGUGUGGUGUAGCGGUGAAAUGCAUAGAUAUCACACAGAACACCGAUUGCGAAGGCAGCUCACGAAUCCGCGAUUGACGCUGAUGCACGAAAGCGUGGGUAUCAAACAGGAUUAGAUACCCGUGUAGUC
This 460-nucleotide ribosomal RNA is filed under the name uncultured bacterium. RNAcentral describes it as "partial 16S ribosomal RNA". It matches the Rfam family "Bacterial small subunit ribosomal RNA", at positions 338 to 795 of the family's 1533-position model. The record is from RNAcentral.